This 274-nucleotide unclassified non-coding RNA is filed under the name uncultured fungus. RNAcentral describes it as "sequence contains ITS1". Lineage: Eukaryota; Fungi. The record is from RNAcentral.
GUAUAGGUUUAUAGGCACAAAUGCCCAUUGAUUACAUUCUAUAACAUACAUUGGGGGUAGAUGAAGAAACAUAGGCCUAGAAAUGUAAGGAAAGGCUGCAAAGUCAAUCCUCAAACCUGAAUUGCGUAGGCAUUCAGAAAGAUAUCCAGGGUCUACAAAAGGUGCACAGGUGGAGAUAUAAAGAUGACAAGUGUGCACAUGCUCCCUAGGGAACCAGCAGCAACCCAUCAGGUUUAUUUCAAUAAUGAUCCUUCCGCAGGUUCACCUACGGAAA